Molecule: ribosomal RNA, 520 nt
Filed under: uncultured Glomus
Lineage: Eukaryota; Fungi; Glomeromycota; Glomeromycetes; Glomerales; Glomeraceae
Description: SSU rRNA
Rfam family: Eukaryotic small subunit ribosomal RNA
Source: RNAcentral
AGCAGCCGCGGUAAUUCCAGCUCCAAUAGCGUAUAUUAAAGUUGUUGCGGUUAAAAAGCUCGUAGUUGAAUUUCGGGAUCAAUACGUUGGUCGUGCUUUCGGGUACGUACUGGCGUCAUUGGUUUCUCUCUUCUGACGAACCAUGAUGUCAUUAGUUUGGUGUUAUGGGGAGUUAGGACUGUUACUUUGAAAAAAUUAGAGUGUUUAAAGCAGGCAUUAGCUUGAAUACAUUAGCAUGGAAUAAUGAAAUAGGACGUUUGAUCCUAUUUUGUUGGUUUCUAGGGUCGACGUAAUGAUUAAUAGGGAUAGUUGGGGGCAUUAGUAUUCAAUUGUCAGAGGUGAAAUUCUUGGAUUUAUUGAAGACUAACUACUGCGAAAGCAUUUGCCAAGGAUGUUUUCAUUAAUCAAGAACGAAAGUUAGGGGAUCGAAGACGAUCAGAUACCGUCGUAGUCUUAACCAUAAACUAUGCCGACUAGGGAUCGGAUGAUGUUAAUUUUUUAAUGACUCAUUCGGCGCCUU